Molecule: ribosomal RNA, 1971 nt
Filed under: human gut metagenome
Description: bacterial LSU rRNA
Rfam family: Bacterial large subunit ribosomal RNA
Source: RNAcentral
GAAAGUAUUCAAGGGCGCACGGCGGAUGCCUAGGCUCUUACAGGCGAUGAAGGACGUGAUAAGCUGCGACAAGCCGCGGUGAGGCGCAAAUGGCCAUUGACCCGCGGGUUUCCGAAUGGGGCAACCCAACGUUUUGAAGAAACGUUAUCCCGCGAAUGCGGGAGGCGAACGCGGGGAACUGAAACAUCUUAGUACCCGCAGGAGAAGAAAAUAAAUAAUGAUUCCCCCAGUAGUGGCGAGCGACCGGGGAAUAGCCCAAACCGGCGUUGUCCAGGCAUCGCCGGGGUUGUAGGACCGCGAUGUCGCAAGAGCCAUGGCGAGUGGAAGGAACUGGAAAGUUCCGCCAUAGAGGGUGACAGCCCCUUACACGAAGCCAUGCGAAGCGUAGCGGAAUCCUGAGUAGCGCGGGACACGUGUAAUCCUGUGUGAAUCAGCCGGGCCCAUCCGGCAAGGCUAAAUACUCGUAAGAGACCGAUAGUGAACCAGUACCGUGAGGGAAAGGUGAAAAGCACCCCUGUUAGGGGAGUGAAAAAGACCCUGAAACCGUGCGCCUACAAGCGGUCGGAGCGCCCAUUGGGCGUGACGGCGUGCCUUUUGCAUAAUGAACCUACGAGUUGCCGUCACCGGCAAGGCGAAGGGGCAGGAGCCCCGCAGCCGCAGCGGAAGCGAGUCUUAAAAGGGCGCUGUAGUCGGUGGUGGCAGACGCGAAACCGAGUGAUCUACACUUGUCCAGGAUGAAGUCCCGGUAACACGGGAUGGAGGUCCGCACCAAUAAGCGUUGAAAAGCUUCUGGAUGAGGUGAGUGUAGGAGUGAAAGGCCAAUCAAACUCGGAGAUAGCUCGUACUCCCCGAAAGGCAUUUAGGUGCCGCCUGUGGAGUUCCCGGCGCGAGGUAGAGCGACUGAUAGGAUGCGAGGGCUUCACCGCCUGUCAAGUCCUGACAAACUCCGAAUGCGCGCCGGCCAAUCCAUGGAGUAAGGGCACGGGUGCUAAGGUCCGUGCCCGAGAGGAGAAGAAUCCAGACCACCGGCCAAGGUCCCGAAAUGCUGGUUAAGUUAGACUAACGCAGUCCGUCCCCCCAGACAGCUAGGAUGUUGGCUUGGAAGCAGCCAUUCAUUCAAAGAGUGCGUAACAGCUCACUAGUCGAGGGGAUGGGCGUGGAUAAUAAUCGGGUAUGAAACCAGUUACCGAAGCCGUGGGAUAUGAGAAUAUCGGUAGGGGAGCAUUCCAUCCUGCGUCGAAGGCGCCGCGCGAGCGGCUCUGGAGCGGAUGGAAAAGCAAAUGUAGGUAUAAGUAACGAUAAGGAGGGUGCGAUCCCCUCCCGCCGAAAGACCAAGGUUUCCUGAACAACGCCAAUCGGUUCAGGGUGAGUCGGUCCCUAAGCAUAAGCCUAAGGGCGAGGGCGAUGGAUCAAACGGUUAAUAUUCCGUUACUGUCUUGGUGUGUGACGCGGCGACGGAGAAGUGACACGGCCGCCCCCUGACGGAAAAGGGGGUUUAAGCGCAAAGGUUACGAGGGAGGCAGGCAAGCCCACCUCCCGAGCCGAAGCGCGAAAGUACGCGGCGCCCUUCUGGGCAACGCGACAGCGCCGGUAACCAUGCUCCCGAGAAAACCCGCUAAACUCCAGCACCAAGUCAUCCGUACCGUAAACGGACACACGUGGUCGGGUAGAACAUACUAAGGCGCUUGGGAGAUUCACGGUUAAGGAACUAGGCAAAUUGACCCCGUACCUUCGGAACAAGGGGUCCUCGUGUAAACGAGGCGCAGAGAAUAGGUCCAGGCAACUGUUUAACAAAAACACAGGGCUGUGCAAAUUCGAAAGAAGCCGUAUACAGCCUGACACCUGCCCGGUGCCGGAAGGUUAAGAGGAGGGCUCAUACUCAUGUAGAAGGCCCGAAUUGAAGCCCCGGUAAACGGCGGCCGUAACUAUAACGGUCCUAAGGUAGCGAAAUUCCUUGUCGGGUAAGUUCCG